CAGUAGCCGCGGUAAAACGGAGGGUGCAAGCGUUGUCCGGAAUUAUUGGGCGUAAAGAGCUCGUAGGCGGUUUGUCGCGUCGGCUGUGAAAACCUGGGGCUCAACCCCGGGCCUGCAACCGAUACGGGCAAACUAGAGUUUGGUAGGGGAUACUGGAAUUCCCGGUGUAGCGGUGAAAUGCGCAGAUAUCAGGAGGAACACCGGUGGCGAAGGGGGCCAUCUGGGACAACACUGACGCUGAGGCACGAAAGCGUGGGGAGCAAACAGGAUUAGAUACCCGUGUAGUCCCUGUCUCUUAUAC
RNAcentral lists this ribosomal RNA (301 nucleotides) under uncultured bacterium. Its description in RNAcentral is "partial 16S ribosomal RNA". It matches the Rfam family "Bacterial small subunit ribosomal RNA", at positions 509 to 807 of the family's 1533-position model. The record is from RNAcentral.